AGCAUAGCAACAGCAGCGUAGCUGAACAUCUUACGGAUGGCCCAGGGCUCCAAAGGCUCGUUUCCUAAGUGAGAGAGAGCCUGGCUGAAGCUGUAUUACCAUUCAUUCUCCAGCCUCCGAAGUCUCAAAGCAUCACUUCCACCAUACUCUAACUGUCAAGACAAACACAAAGGCCCAGAAACUGCCAGACUGUCUUCUGAAGUGGCUAUAAUAUUUACACUCCCAUCAGCAGUGUAGAAGGGGUCUCACUAUGUUGUCUGGAGUGCUGUGGUGGAGUGGAGUGGCUAUUCACAGAGCCUGUUCUGCUGGGACACAGAAUCACUUGCUCCAUCUCAUACAUUGAUGAUGAUUAAUUUGUAUGUGUACCUUCCAAAAAAGAUGGUUGUGUUUGAAUGGAGGCCUUCUGGACAGGAAAAUUGCAAAGUACAAUUAACAUUUGAGUCUGUCUGAGUCAUGAAGAAAUGGAGAUUACUGAAAAUAAUUCAUUUUGGUAUCUUCUUACAUCCUGAGAGACUAAUCUUUCCAAGUUCAUCUGAGGCUCCUCUUCUCCAUGACAACCUCAUCCAGGGAUUUCUUCCUGUCCUGGUGUUUUAUGACAUGUGGAAGGGGACUGUAGCAGGUGAUCUCCAAAGUCUCUGGAGACUUACUAAUGUGCAUCCUCAUCUCGCUUGUAAGGAUAAUAGCCUUCCUCCAAACCUCACACACUUUUGGAGGAGAUCACUUUUUUUAAAGUGCAUGGAAAUGUUUUGAAACAGUGAAAUCUAUAAUGAUAGGUUUCAUAAUUCUAACAUCCACACCAUAUGAAUCACAUCCUUCCUGAGAUAAUGAGCACACAAUUGCCUGGAUACCUGAAGGAAUGGAGACAGCGGCAGAAAACACUGCAGAGAGGUGGAAACAUCCGUUAAUAUUUUAAAAUCCCAUUACUGCUACCAACAAUAAUAAUGGAUGCAUAGAAAUAGAUCUGGAUUAGCUGAGCUUGAAACAGUCCAUCUCACACACACACAAAAGAAUUUCAGAUACAGUGAACCCACAUGUUGAAGCUUUCUAGUAUAAUAAAAAUUUCAACUGUUCUGUUGAAUCAUCUGCCUGAUUGGAGGCUACAGAAAAGAUGUCAUCUUAGGAGUGCUUGCUCUGAGUGAGGCUCAUCUUCAAAUCUGAAUGACCACAAGGAGAUUUGAUUAUACAUGUGAACACCUCAGAAGGCACAGCCCACCCAGAAGGCAGACAGGAGGAGACAGACACUAGAGCUCACCGGCUCGCCCUCUCACUCCUACUCAUCUGAGAAGGCAGCCAGCUAACCCUUCAGCCAGGAAGAGGGUCCUCAUCAGAACCUGGCCGUGGUGGCAUCCAGAUCUUGAACCUCCGGACUCCAGACUGUGAGAAAAUAAGUGUGUUGUUUAAACUA
RNAcentral lists this long non-coding RNA (1405 nucleotides) under Homo sapiens (human). RNAcentral's name for it is "long intergenic non-protein coding RNA 635". The record is from RNAcentral. Lineage: Eukaryota; Metazoa; Chordata; Mammalia; Primates; Hominidae.